Molecule: transfer RNA, 73 nt
Filed under: Ictidomys tridecemlineatus (thirteen-lined ground squirrel)
Lineage: Eukaryota; Metazoa; Chordata; Mammalia; Rodentia; Sciuridae
Also listed under: 1 other name
Description: Spermophilus tridecemlineatus (thirteen-lined ground squirrel) tRNA
Rfam family: tRNA
About the family: Transfer RNA (tRNA) molecules are approximately 80 nucleotides in length. Their secondary structure includes four short double-helical elements and three loops (D, anti-codon, and T loops).
Source: Rfam by way of RNAcentral
GGGGAUAUGGUUCAUAUGGUAGAGUGCUUGUCUUGCACUCAAAAGGCCCUGGGUUCGAUCCCUAGCACCCACU